AGUGAACGCUGGCGGUAGGCCUAACACAUGCAAGUCGAACGGCAGCACAGUAAGAGCUUGCUCUUACGGGUGGCGAGUGGCGGACGGGUGAGGAAUACAUCGGAAUCUACUUUUUCGUGGGGGAUGACGUAGGGAAACUUACGCUAAUACCGCAUACGACCUACGGGUGAAAGCAGGGGUUCUUCGGACCUUGCGCGAUUGAAUGAGCCGAUGUCGGAUUAGCUAGUUGGCGGGGUAAAGGCCCACCAAGGCGACGAUCCGUAGCUGGUCUGAGAGGAUGAUCAGCCACACUGGAACUGAGACACGGUCCAGACUCCUACGGGAGGCAGCAGUGGGGAAUAUUGGACAAUGGGCGCAAGCCUGAUCCAGCCAUACCGCGUGGGUGAAGAAGGCCUUCGGGUGGUAAAGCCCUUUUGUUGGGAAAGAAAAGCAGCAGGUUAAUACCCCGCUGUUCUGACGGUACCCAAAGAAGAAGCACCGGCUAACUUCGUG
This 492-nucleotide ribosomal RNA is filed under the name uncultured bacterium. RNAcentral describes it as "partial 16S ribosomal RNA". It matches the Rfam family "Bacterial small subunit ribosomal RNA", at positions 29 to 507 of the family's 1533-position model. The record is from RNAcentral.